RNAcentral lists this long non-coding RNA (2991 nucleotides) under Equus asinus (donkey). RNAcentral's name for it is "lncRNA (ENSEASG00005034380.1)". The record is from RNAcentral. Lineage: Eukaryota; Metazoa; Chordata; Mammalia; Perissodactyla; Equidae.
GUUGAAGGCAACCGUUGAGUGAAGCCCCGGGGACAGCAGAAUCCACAGGGGAGCACAGAGUGGGAGAGGCUUCUUCAGGGCCUGCAGGGGAAGGCGAUGGGAGAGAGGAAGGGGGUCAGCAGAGAUCCAGCUGGCACCUUCAGGGAAGAAUGUGAUACCGUCCAGGAGGAGAAGUUGGCGGGUGCCAUUAUCAGACGGCCUAAAGGCAACCUUUGUGCAUCAUUUGAGGGCCAGCCCCAAGGAUGAAAACUCACAGCCUCUACCACAGCCACUGACUCACUGGAUCGUUCUUAGCCCAAAAGGCGUGAGUUUUGGCUGCCUCUGGGGCCAAACUAUAGCAUUCUGGACGCCAUUCUCUGAUCCUCAGUAAUUUGAGAAGCAUUCCUGCAGUGAAGGAUCAAAGUCUUGCCCUCUUUCCUCGUUCUCGAAUGCAACCGGCAGCCAGCAGAAGUGCCUGCUUUGACUGAGGAAUCUGGCAGGGCCGGCCCCCUCUCCAGACCCUUGUGCUUUCUCUAAUGGUCUCCCAGUGGGCCCUGCUGCAACAGGGCUCUCUUCUUCCAGCCUGUGCAUGUCAGAAAUUCACAGGCAUUCUAGGGAUCAAGACAAGCCCUGGACGUGUCAUUUAUCUUUUCACAGCUAACUGCUGAAUCCCUUUUGAUUACAUUCCAAAAGGACAGCUCCUCCUACCCAGGUACUCUUGGCAGGGUCUGCUUCAAGAAGUGAUGGGAGCACAAAGCUCACAGGGGUCCCCCAGGUCCAGAGAGGCUGGGUUCCAGGGCUGAUAUCCUCAAGGGGCAGAGGAGGUGUUCGAUCCCUCGUCCAGGAAACAAAUAAAAAUGGUCACCCCUUUCUUUGGGACCUUUUAUUCCCCCCAUUUUGCACUUCACUCUCACUCUGCGUAAUUCCAGGAUUAGUCAGGAUCAGCUGACACCUCCAGGAGAGUUAUUCAGAUAUUUUUUUUAACCAGGACCACAGUAAGAAAUACACCUUACGUGGGCACCCAUUACACCCAUUGCUGUACUUACAGAGAAAACAUAAGUUUCACAAAACCAUAUUUGCCUUACUAUGUGCAGCGUACUCUGAGGUUUCCCAUUAUUAUUCUAACACUGUUCAAGACCCGCUAAAUUACUUCCCAGCUCACUAUUGGGUGGCAGCUGGCAGUUUAGGAAGAGCUGCCCUAAGAGAUGGAUGGUAUCCCUCAUACUCCCAGGCACCCUUGCAGCCUCCUCUUAGGUGUUAGAGAGAAACCAUCAGACUUAGAACAGAUUGGUGAUGCGUAUGUCAUAGAAAACACCUAGGGCCCUGGCAGAGCUGUCAAGAAAGGAGGGUCAGACGAUGGAAAUUUUGCUGUGGAAUUUGGACCACAGAAAGGGCACAACAUGGACCGUCAUGGCAGAGUCCAUUCUAUAGAUGUCAUUCCAGAAUCUCGUCUUUCCAACACUCACCCCUGCAUACAUCCUGUCACUUUGUAGGUUGAGGAGGCCAAAUCUCAUGGCCCGUGGGUGGGGAUGAAGGGCCAGUGCCUGUGGGAAAGACGGUGGGAGAAGAGGGAAUUUCCCUGCUUUAACGUAUGUCCUCUUUCUAGGUCACAAGUCAAUGUGCACAGCAGACCCACAGGCAUCUGAUUUUCUAAGUCUUUCCCAUUUCCGGAUGCCAUAUACCCUUCUUCCUCCCUGCUAAAGAAACACUAUUUAACUUGUGGGACGAUCACUCAUGGAAUCCUGGUCUCCAGGACCCUGAGUUUCGAAUAGAGCCGAGCUUGGCACUCAUUUCCUAAAUAACUAGUGGUUAGGGGCCGUUAUUUAUGGGAGUCCUUUAAAUUCCUGAUGAAGAAAGUGAGACUGAGCUCAUCUGACACCCUUUCACUUGGGACACGAGAAAUAACUGAUUCCUUCUCCCUGUCCCACCCUCUACUCUAUCAUGGCGAGAAGCAUCAUCUGAAAGGUCCCUGGAAGAAUGGAGCAGGAGAGGUGGGCAGAGUGGCCCAAAGCCCGCCCACAGCCCUGCUUUCCUGGCUGCGGUCCAUGGGCACCAUCCUUUCUUUGCCUUGCCUCCCCAUCUCUUUGAGAAUCUGGUGUCCUGUCCAUUGAGCUGAGUGUUUUCAGUAACAUCACAACCAAAGCCUCCCAACGACAUCGCCCAGAUGGCCAGCACCCUCGCCUUGCCCAGACAGGGUGCUACACACCAGGAGCUGACCCUGCCGGAGUUGGUUCACUGUUGAUAAGGGAGACUGAGAGACUUUCCUUUUGUUGUCCUCUCCUCUUGCUGAGAGACUGGCCCAGUAGAGGGAUUUUGUCAAUCCCUGCCAUCCAAGGUUUCUGGCUCAAGUCACUGCAGAGCCUCCCAAGUUCUUACACAACCAUCAUCAUCCACGAGCAUUGACAGAAUGCUCCCCACACCAUGCUCAAGCCCAAGGAAGUGACAAAGGCAAGACAAAUUCCAAACACGCAAGAAGCUUAGAGUGUCACUUGGAAGACACCAUUAACCUUGAAAAAAAUAUAUGCAACAAUCCAAGCAACGUAUAAGUGCCCACCAGUGAACAAGACAGGAAUGGAGAGAGUGAGGGCAGGGCGGGAUGACUGGAGUGGUCUGCACAGGGAGGUGGAAUGUGAGCUCAAGGGCAGUGAUAGGCAUACGCAAUUCCAAGAACAAUUAAAGAUACCACUAGCCCAAAACUGGAAGAUCUGUGUAAGAAAGUGAAUGGGAUGGCGGAGGGGUGUGGGAGGGGAAGAAACAUGAGGAAGUGAGGUCAGCCAAGCUGAAAGACUAUUCAUGAGGUAAGAAUUAGGAUACAGGGAAGCCUGCUAAAGCCAACCGUGGGUCCAUGUUGCCUUUUCUCCUUAAUCACAAAAAAAUAGUUAUCCUUCUAGAAACACAACCACAUUCAGCUGGAAGCAGCAGUUGCAAUUCAAGUCACCCUGGUUUCCAGGGAUCCUGUGAUGUCAUCAGUGAUGUGGCACAAUUCUAUGAGCCCUAGGAUAACUAAAGCAU